AGGUAUACGGGGGGAACCGCCUGAACUGAAACAUCUAAGUAGGGCGAGGAAGAGAAAUCAAAAGAGAUUCCGAAAGUAGUGGCGAGCGAAAUCGGAAGAGGCCAAACCGGAAGCAGCAAUGUUUCCGGGGUUGUGGACUGUAUCAAGCUAAUUUGUUUUUAGUUGAACUGCAUGGGAAGGCAGGCCGGAGAACGUGAGAGCCGUGUAAGCGAAAAGAACAGACAGCGGGCAGUAUCCAGAGUACCGCGGGACACGUGAAACCCCGUGGGAAGCAGGGGGGACCACCCUCCAAGCCUAAAUACUCCCCAGUGACCGAUAGCGCAAAGUACUGUGAAGGAAAGGUGAAAAGGACCCCGGGAGGGGAGUGAAAGAGAACCUGAAACCCUGAGCCUACAAGCACAUAGAGCACAUCAAAGUGUGAUAUGGUACCUUUUGUAGAAUGGUCCGGCGAGCGUAUGUAUGUAGCAAGGUUAAGGACUUAAGGUCCGGAGCCGAAGGGAAACCGAGUCUGAAAAGGGCGAAGAGUUUCAUGCAUAGGGCCCGAAACCGGGUGACCUAUCCAUGUCCAGGUUGAAGUGGGCGUAAAAGCCCAUGGAGGACCGAACCGACCUCCGUUGAAAAGGCGGCGGAUGAGGUGUGGAUAGCGGAGAAAUUCCAAUCGAACCCGGAGAUAGCUGGUUCUCCCCGAAAUAGCUUUAGGGCUAGCGUCAAGUUAGAUUACCGGAGGUAAAGCACUGAAUGGGCUAGGGGCCGAGAGGUUACUGAACCCUAUCAAACUAAGAAUGCCGGAGAAUUGAUGCUUGGCAGUCAGACUACGUGAGAUAAGUCUCGUGGUCGAGAGGGAAAAAGCCCAGACCCACAGCUAAGGUCCCGAAGUAGAUUUAAGUGGAAAAGGAUGUGGAAUUGCGAAGACAACCAGGAUGUUGGCUUAGAAGCAGCCACACAUUCAAAGAGUGCGUAAUAGCUCACUGGUCGAGUGACUCUGCGCCGAAAAUUCAACGGGGCUAAAAUCUACACCGAAGCUAGGGAAUCCGCAAGGAUUGGUAGGGGAGCGUCGAAUACGAGGAGAAGCAUUAGCG
RNAcentral lists this ribosomal RNA (1079 nucleotides) under bacterium 1XD42-8. RNAcentral's name for it is "Bacterial large subunit ribosomal RNA". It matches the Rfam family "Bacterial large subunit ribosomal RNA", at positions 168 to 1263 of the family's 2925-position model. The record is from Rfam by way of RNAcentral.